RNAcentral lists this non-coding RNA (31 nucleotides) under Homo sapiens (human). The record is from RNAcentral. Lineage: Eukaryota; Metazoa; Chordata; Mammalia; Primates; Hominidae.
UGCACCUCUGCCCAGUGCACCUGGAUCGUUC